AGUGAACGCUGGCGGCGUGGAUUAGGCAUGCAAGUCGAGCGAUGAUAAGAGAAGCGAGGGCCGCAAGGCUCAAGUGGAUUUUGUCAUAGCGGCAGACGGGUGAGGAACACGUGAGUAACCUGCCCUUAAGUCAGGAAUAGCUUCGUGAAAACGGAGGUAAUACCUGAUAACAUCAUGAGAGCGCAUGUUCUUAUGAUUAAAGACGAGGACCCGCAAGGGCCUAUCGCUUAGGGAUGGACUCGCGUCCUAUCAGCUUGUUGGUAGGGUAAUGGCCUACCAAGGCGUAUGACGGGUAGCUGGUCUGAGAGGAUGGUCAGCCACACUGGGACUGAGACACUGCCCAGACUCCUACGGGAGGCUGCAGUCGAGAAUAUUUAGCAAUGGACGAAAGUCUGACUAUGCGACGCCGCGUGAGGGAUGAAGGUCUUCGGAUUGUAAACCUCUUUGUCAGG
RNAcentral lists this ribosomal RNA (452 nucleotides) under uncultured bacterium. RNAcentral's name for it is "bacterial SSU rRNA". It matches the Rfam family "Bacterial small subunit ribosomal RNA", at positions 29 to 442 of the family's 1533-position model. The record is from RNAcentral.